CACGCCGUAAACGAUGAGCACUAGGUGUCGGGGUCGCAAGACUUCGGUGCCGCAGUUAACGCAUUAAGUGCUCCGCCUGGGGAGUACGCACGCAAGUGUGAAACUCAAAGGAAUUGACGGGGACCCGCACAAGCAGCGGAGCAUGUGGUUUAAUUCGAAGCAACGCGAAGAACCUUACCAGGACUUGACAUCCCUCUGACCGCUCUUUAACAGGAGCUUCUCUUCGGAGCAGAGGUGACAGGUGG
This 245-nucleotide ribosomal RNA is filed under the name uncultured bacterium. RNAcentral's name for it is "partial 16S ribosomal RNA". It matches the Rfam family "Bacterial small subunit ribosomal RNA", at positions 796 to 1041 of the family's 1533-position model. The record is from RNAcentral.